RNAcentral lists this ribosomal RNA (537 nucleotides) under uncultured bacterium. Its description in RNAcentral is "bacterial SSU rRNA". It matches the Rfam family "Bacterial small subunit ribosomal RNA", at positions 777 to 1320 of the family's 1533-position model. The record is from RNAcentral.
AAUAGAUACCCGGGUAGUCCACGCCGUAAACGAUGGAUACUAGCUGUUGGGGGCGACCUCAGUGGCUAAGCGAAAGUGAUAAGUAUCCCACCUGGGGAGUACGUUCGCAAGAAUGAAACUCAAAGGAAUUGACGGGGGCCCGCACAAGCGGUGGAGCAUGUGGUUUAAUUCGAUGAUACGCGAGGAACCUUACCAAGGCUUAAAUGCAGACUGACCGUUUUGGAAACAGAACUUUCGCAAGACAGUCUACAAGGUGCUGCAUGGUUGUCGUCAGCUCGUGCCGUGAGGUGUCAGGUUAAGUCCUAUAACGAGCGCAACCCCUGUUGUUAGUUGCCAGCGAGUAGUGUCGGGAACUCUAACAAGACUGCCAGUGCAAACUGUGAGGAAGGUGGGGAUGGACGUCAAAGUCAUCACGGGCCCUUACGCCUUGGGCUACACACGUGCUACAAUGGCCGGUACAGAGAGCAGCCACCUCGCGAGGGGGAGCGAAUCUACAAAGCCGGUCACAGUUCGGAUCGGAGUCUGCAACUCGUACCG